CAAGACAAAUACAAGAAAGCAUCAUACCCUGAAGCAUGAAGACCUCAUUCAUCAAGCUCAGCUGCAGUGUGCUAAAGAAAGCAAACCCCGCACAGAUUCCAAUGAGAGGAUCACCAUUCGUUUCAAUGUCAGCUAUACCCUGGAUUGAUAUUUUUCCCACAGGGAAGGUGUGGGGAGAGGGAAUCCUAUAUCUACCAUACCAUUCAAAGUAUACGUAUCUGUGUCGAUAUAUACAAAAUGCCAAUUGACAGGGGGGUUUGGGGGUUUUUUAAAGCAUCCAUAUGAUUUCAGUGUGGUUUACUAAACUUUGAACAAAUUGAAAACAGAUAAAAGUGUAAUAAAGUCUCAGAGUGUUAAAAACAUUUAUGAUAAUAUUAAAAGGUGCUUUAAAAUGCCUGGGUGAAUUUUAAAAGUGGGGUGUUGCUGAUAGCUACAAGAUAGUGAAGGUGAUUAUUUGGGGAAGGGCUAGAGAUGUGAAGGCAUAGGGGGGGGAAUGAAUUGGGGGGUCACUGUCAUCCCCCCCCCCAAUUUUCUGUUGUUGGUUUUCCUUACUUCUCUAUGAAGGGCAGCGCCCAAUGACCACAGCAUGCAGACAGGUUGAUAGUGCUCCAUCAAGUACUUUGCUCCCAAGAUGCUUUUAGAGACUUAAAAGUAUGCACCAGCAGUUCAAAUUGGGUCCAGAAGCAUUUCCGAAUUGCUCUCAGAAGCAGUCUCUAUAUAUAAUAAUGCAGCAAUCAGGAUAGGAUCUCAACAAAGCUUUCUGGUAACAUGGUCCCAAGCUAUUUACAUGUUAAAACCAGUAUUUUAAAUUGGAAAUGCAGUGGAAGCCAGUUGAGCUGACAAAACACAGGUGAAAUAUGGUCAAACCACUAAGUUUAUUUAGUGAAUCAGAAGCAGAUUUGAACCAAAUACUCCCUAAAUUGGCCCUGAGUUGUCUGUUGCACUACACCAGUUCGUAAGCGCUGCAAGAAUUUUUUCUUGACACCUCUUCUUCCCCUAUGAAGCCUGAAAAUUCAUAUGAACCAUCACCUUCUAAAUCCAACACAAGUGCUUUGUCCCAAGCUUCCCAUCUUCCCAUGGCCCAAUUCAAUUCCACCUGCCUCCCCUUAUUCCUUUUAAUAUCCCUGACCUGUAAGACUUUUACUUUUACUUCUCUAAAACUAACCCAAGCCUAGUCAUGUUUACUUGGAAGUAGGAUCCUGGAUUUCAAAGGGACUUAUUUUCAUGUAAGUGUGCUUAGGACAGCAGCCUAAGUCAACCAAAGUUUGUACAUCAUGAAUCUUGGUUGGUCUUCAUAAAGGUACUGUUUUACUCUCACUGUUUAAAUUUUGGCUGCAGUUGUUAUCUUUUCUUACUAGACAUUUCUAUUAACAGGGCUUUAGCUCAGGGGGAAAAACACCCACAAAGAAAAUUCAACUGACUAAUUCAAAGCUCCAGUUUGGAAUGUAUUUCAGGCUAUUUAUGACAGCAGCCUGUUUUUAAAAGUGCCUGUUAUUUUGCAUCAGAGUUUGUCAUGCUUCUUACAGCCAUUAUGAAAAGCCUUUCAAACCCUCCUCUUCUUAAUUACCACAAAGAACUUGGAUGCAUUUCCUCGCUCUGAUCUGCUAAUUUAAACCUCAUCCAUGGAAAUGAGCAACAAUGGACUCAAGGAAAUUAUAUUCAACAAUUGAAAUCAACAAGUUAAGCAACUGAAACGGAUGCCAGCUUCUCCUUGGUCAGCUAACUAGGAUCAAAGAGUGAGUAGAUCAAUUGUAAGGUCAUUAAAGGACAAGAGAAAACACAAUGGAUAUUGAUGUCAGAGAAAACAAGUCUAAUUGGCCACACCUCCAUUGCUGAUCAAGUGAGAAAAGACCCACCUCAUGCCCUUGGACACGGAGGUCAGCUGAUAUAUGAGUUCUACAUGCCUGAUUAACUACUUGCUUGCCUAGCAGGUUUCAGAUGACUAGCACUUCAUAAUUGAUCCCAGCGGGACCACUGGGUUCAUUUAAUCCAAGACAAUUAUUGAAUAUUUGAAUGUGGUAUUCACUUGUCGUUUCUGGCUUACAGACCAUACAUGAUGCACAGUGGCAUGAUUUUAGAUCUUUGUAGAAAGGGAGGCAAAGAGAUCAGAGAAAGAUGGGUGACAGUUAACAGGGAUUUUUUAAAAAAUAGUCCUCUCUAGAUGUUCCCCCUCAUGUGCUCCCUACUUCAUUGGUAGUGGGGGAGCAGGAAAGUGCUAAUUUUCCCUGCCCCCCUCUGCCACUUUCCCAGUGGCCUCCCUGCCCACCUGCAUGGGGCUGAACACCUGUAGCAGAGAGUCAUCUCCACACAAGGAAGUUCCUGCACUAUUUAGAACCCUGAUUGUACAUGGUCUAAGUCUACAGACCAUGUCCCAGGUUUUGGUCUGAAGGCACAUGUGAUCUGGCUGAAGCUAAGCAGGUCCGGGACUCUGGACCAUUCUCUGAAUGGUGAACUGCCAAGUAUGUGUGCCACAAGUAUAUCACCUUGGGUUCCAUGAAAGAAAAAAGGCAGGGUAUAAAUGAAAGGGUAUAAAUGAGUAGAUAAAAUGCAGAAGUCCAUUCCCAACUUGUGCAGCAGGGAGAGCAGGGCCAGUGAGUGAGCUCAUUCUUGCUCUCCACAGUCCUCACUCUGCAGGGCAAUUACACAAGGCCUGAAUGCCUAGAGAGAGCUUAUGUCAUCAAUAGUUCAAAAUGAAUUUCAGCAGCAAAAAAACAGGUUUUGCCCUAUAUGCUACCUAGAAGGUGGCACAGCCUUUCUUUCAAAGGUAACACUUCCUGAACUUCACUGAUAACAAGCAUUACCAUGAAAGUCAUGGACUCCUAAGCUUCUGUGAAGAGCAACAUUCUUGUUCUUUACCCCAGGUUGGCAGUGGAGGGGGAGAUUAGCCUGUGGGCGCUUGUAUAGGACAGACAGAAGUGCCUGUCUUGGAAUGAAUGGCCUGGCUGUGUGGCAAUGGCUUGGCAUAGAGGCAGCCCACUGCUGGGUGACAAGCUUUCCAGCACCUAAAAAGUGGGUCUCUGUGUAUGUGUCGGCCAGACUCAAGACUCAAGAACCAUCCCUGAUAAAUAGGGGUCAUCACUAGAGCAGAUGGAACCAGCAAUAGGGACAAAAUAUGCAAUCCUGCAGGGCUGGCCCUACCAUUAAAGAGAGUGAGGCAGUGUCCUCAGGCUGCUGAAUUUGGGGUGUUGUGAAAAAGCAGAAAAUUGUUAAUUGAUUGCCAUGGUCUUUAUACAUACAAAAUCUGAUGACGUUUAGCAUAAAUGAAUCUCUUCUCAAUGCGAGCAACUGAGGCUGAAUUUCAGAGGCUCGAAUCAGCAGUUGUUAUAACUAUAAAACCAGCACUAUUUAGAGGUAUCUUCAUUGAUCCCAGUUUCAACUUUGUAUAAGUGUAUGUAGUGGGGGUGGUAAUUGAACAUAUUUUAAAUUAUCUCAUUAACCUCCUGAUUACAUAGAGAAGGGGAGAAGGCUUUGAACAUUAUGUUGUUUUAGCCAAAUUGGUGACGUAAAAGGAAUCAGAGAAUCACAAAUGCAGCAAAUUAGGGAAAACUCUAAACAUCUAUAUCCUCUCCUAUUGCAACAGACAAAGAAGAGAUUGAAUUGAUGGAGACUGUGAAAUACAAUUUACUGGUUAAUUUAUCAGGUCAUGUUUGCUUUGUGGCACAAAGUUCCAUCAGAGGAGCUGUUUUGCCUGACAUUGGAACCUCACUACUCAGUAGCAUUGAUUUAAAUGGUGUGUCUCUGGCAUAAUUUGUAAUGUCUACCAAAAAAAAGAGGUCUGAACAGAGAUGGAAAGAUUUCUUUGCGAUGGGCUUUGUAACACAGGGGAGGACCUAUCAAUUUAGUUAUAUAAUGUUAUUUUCUUUUUGUUCAGUAUCCUAUGGACCUGUAGUUAAUAUGACAAUAACGGGGACUGUAUGCAAAAUAAUAAUAAAAAGCACUUCCAGAAUUUCUGCACAGUGUGGGGCUGGGAUCAUGCCAUUCUGUUACCAUUUGUUUGCAAAUUUUACGUUUUGAUAAGUGCCCCAAGAUGUACACUCACACUGUGCAGCCUGUACAGUACACCACAAUGCAGUUGGGCAGAAUUUAGCCUUAUAGGAUCUACUAAAAAGACAAAACAAACCAACAGGAACCUUGUGGUCUACUAACCAGAGCCAGGUGCAAAACAGUGCUUAGGAGGGAGGAUGUUAGCUAAGAAUUAAGAGCUAUGUGCCUAUUACCCCAGCUCCAGUGCACUCCCAGCAAUGGCGGCUGAAGCCAAGUACACAUGUUGUUAGCCAUCUGUAUCCUGCAGUUUCUUGAGAGAUAAUGCUGGUUUAAUGUGCUUUCCCUCAGACCAGCUUCCAUCUGAUUCCAUAACGCAGACCGCCGUUAAGCUAAGGUGUGUAAAUUUUAAGCAUCCCUUGUGCUUGCACAGAUGAGGGCUUCGUUGAACAGGUGUUCAGAGAGCUGCAGACAAGGGGAAGCAAAUCAGGUAAUGGUGUGUACAGCAACAUAAAAUGCAAUGUGAACUGCAGGAGGAGGAAAUGACCUCACGUUCUACAGCCCCUUGGUCAGGAUGCUUCAGGCCACAGGAC
Non-coding RNA from Podarcis lilfordi (Lilford's wall lizard), 4574 nucleotides. The record is from the annotation of a GenBank genome assembly. NCBI's taxonomy places the organism in Eukaryota, Metazoa, Chordata, Lepidosauria, Squamata, Lacertidae.